This 63-nucleotide transfer RNA is filed under the name Arctica islandica. Its description in RNAcentral is "tRNA-Ser". Lineage: Eukaryota; Metazoa; Mollusca; Bivalvia; Venerida; Arcticidae. The record is from RNAcentral.
GGUUUUUAUGGACAUUAGUUAUUUUGAACUUAACUUAAGGGCGUUCGACUCGCUCAAAAGCCU